GAUGAACGCUGGCGGCGUGCCUAAUACAUGCAAGUCGAGCGAACAGACGAGGAGCUUGCUCCUUCGACGUUAGCGGCGGACGGGUGAGUAACACGUAGGUAACCUACCUAUAAGACUGGGAUAACUUCGGGAAACCGGAGCUAAUACCGGAUAAUAUUUCGAACCGCAUGGUUCGAUAGUGAAAGAUGGCUUUGCUAUCACUUAUAGAUGGACCUGCGCCGUAUUAGCUAGUUGGUAAGGUAACGGCUUACCAAGGCAACGAUACGCAGCCGACCUGAGAGGGUGAUCGGCCACACUGGAACUGAGACACGGUCCAGACUCCUACGGGAGGCAGCAGUAGGGAAUCUUCCGCAAAGGGCGAAAGCCUGACGGAGCAACGCCGCGUGAGUGAUGAAGGUCUUCGGAUCGUAAAACUCUGUUAUUAGGGAAGAACAAACGUGUAAGUAACUGUGCACGUCUUGACGGUACCUAAUCAGAAAGCCACGGCUAACUACGUG
RNAcentral lists this ribosomal RNA (497 nucleotides) under uncultured bacterium. RNAcentral describes it as "partial 16S ribosomal RNA". It matches the Rfam family "Bacterial small subunit ribosomal RNA", at positions 28 to 507 of the family's 1533-position model. The record is from RNAcentral.